RNAcentral lists this ribosomal RNA (303 nucleotides) under uncultured bacterium. RNAcentral's name for it is "partial 16S ribosomal RNA". It matches the Rfam family "Bacterial small subunit ribosomal RNA", at positions 507 to 807 of the family's 1533-position model. The record is from RNAcentral.
AGCAGUAGCCGCGGUAAUACGGAGGGAGCUAGCGUUGUUCGGAAUUACUGGGCGUAAAGCGCGCGUAGGCGGUUACUCAAGUCAGAGGUGAAAGCCCGGGGCUCAACCCCGGAACUGCCUUUGAAACUAGGUGACUAGAAUCUUGGAGAGGUCAGUGGAAUUCCGAGUGUAGAGGUGAAAUUCGUAGAUAUUCGGAAGAACACCAGUGGCGAAGGCGACUGACUGGACAAGUAUUGACGCUGAGGUGCGAAAGCGUGGGGAGCAAACAGGAUUAGAUACCCGCGUAGUCCCUGUCUCUUAUAC